GGCACGAUGCCAGAGUGGUUAAUGGGUAAGACUUGAAUUCAGUGCGAGUUCAGCUAUCUUAUGGCUUCGGCCUCGUAGGUUCAAAUCCUGCUCGUGUCG
Molecule: non-coding RNA, 99 nt
Organism: Camillea tinctor
Lineage: Eukaryota; Fungi; Ascomycota; Sordariomycetes; Xylariales; Graphostromataceae
Source: the annotation of a GenBank genome assembly